RNAcentral lists this ribosomal RNA (334 nucleotides) under uncultured bacterium. RNAcentral's name for it is "bacterial SSU rRNA". It matches the Rfam family "Bacterial small subunit ribosomal RNA", at positions 32 to 345 of the family's 1533-position model. The record is from RNAcentral.
AAUCAACGCUGGCGGCGUGCCUCAGACAUGCAAGUCGAACGCGAAGGCCCCUUCGGGGGCCCGGUAGAGUGGCGCACGGGUGAGUAACACGUAGGUAAUUUGCCUUCGGGUGGGGAAUAACAGCCGGAAACGGCUGCUAAUACCGCAUAAUGCAGCGGCUCGACAUCGAGACAGUUGUUAAAGCGGGGGAGUCGCAAGACCUCGCGCCUGAAGAGAAGCCUGCGGCAGAUUAGCUUGUUGGUGAGGUAAUGGCUCACCAAGGCGACGAUCUGUAACCGGCCUGAGAGGGCGGUCGGUCACACUGACACUGACAUACGGGUCAGACUCCUACGGG